UUUUCAUGUAGCACCUGCUCUGCCUGUGCCGUGCUAAGAGGCUCUUUCCACUGAAUCUGUUGGAUGGUCAUUGAAGUACGAUGCCAUAACAAGGUGCUGAGGGCCGAGCCAGGCUCUCUAAAGAUGAAGGUUCUGGGAAGGACAGAGAAGAAUCCAGAGGAAAUGGAUUCCUGCGCCGGUGCAUACACAUGGGGCAGGGGAGUGCUACUGCUGCUGCACAAAGAGUUAUGCCCUGCAGUCUGGGAGCACGAUUGUGUCUGUGCACCUGUGUGUUUCAGAGAUGCUCCAGCACACCAGCACUGACCUUCAGGCAGCCUCUUGCAGCCUCAGUCCCUGGGAAAAGCCCAGUUUCCUUCAUAAUCAUGUCAGGGAAGGGACAAGAGAUGGCACAUUUCACUCUAAUGGAAUGUUCUGGAAAGACUGUCAGAGGAAAUUUGUCUCUUGGAAAAUGAUCAGAAUCUUUUUGAGGUGAAGAUCAACCACUUCUAGGCAGAGACCAGUCCAUCUUCCACUGCCAUUCUGGCUUAAGUUCUCCACAGAUGAGUUGAAUCCCUCAGAAGCCACAUCAAAGUUCUGGAAAGAGUGAGGGAGUGAAAGGACACAGCCCCUGACCAGUGGCAUGGACUUGUUGGUGCAGCCAGUGCCAUGGGCUCCACUGCCCAGAGGAGAGCUCUGGAGAGGGCAGAGGAGGCAAGAGGAAGAAGGUGGGCUCUGAGAGCCACACCCACAGCUCAGAUUGCAGGGCAACAGAAGCCACUUUGUCUUCUAAACUCACCUCCCAAGGAAAAAACCCUUCUUCCUCCACUCCCAAAGUGCACCCUUGUUUAGUCAAGCCUGUGUCCCCUGCCCGUAGGAAGGAGGAAAGCUCUUUUUAGUACACCAGCAGAACUACAUUUGAUGAUGCAACUUAGUAACUUUGUGCUUAAGAACAAAGCAGCACUGCUUAGGGCCAAGGGAGGUGAAAGAGAAUCUCCUGGUGGUCAGAGCUCGGGGACAUCCCUGUUAGCUGGGUUGAUCAGGGAAGGCCUCAGGAAGAGGUAAGCUUGAUCUGUACUUUGGAGAUGGGAGGAAUCAGAGAACAGAGAGAAAAAUGGAGGGCACUUUGGCGGGGAAUUUAACACAGACCCUCUUACUCAUUGCACAUAGCUCUUUAAAGCUUACAAAGUAUGUUCACAUGUGUAAUCUCAUUUCAUCCUCAUUGGACUAUGGGAUCCCAGAGGUACUAUCUCAUUUGAGAAGCAAUUCAGCAUAGUAAUUAAGAGUGCAGUUUUUGAAUUUCUGGUUAAAUGUGGCAGAUGGAAUAAAUGCAUUUAUAUCUGCUCCCUCAACAAACCUCACAAAAAUAAAAGUAAAGCGAUGUAAAG
This 1364-nucleotide long non-coding RNA is filed under the name Homo sapiens (human). Its description in RNAcentral is "HSALNT0004839". The record is from RNAcentral. Lineage: Eukaryota; Metazoa; Chordata; Mammalia; Primates; Hominidae.